UGGGGAAUCUUGGACAAUGGGCGAAAGCCUGAUCCAGCCAUGCCGCGUGAGUGACGAAGGUCUUCGGAUUGUAAAGCUCUUUUGGCGGGGACGAUAAUGACGGUACCCGCAGAAUAAGCCCCGGCUAACUUCGUGCCAGCAGCCGCGGUAAUACGAAGGGGGCUAGCGUUGUUCGGAAUUACUGGGCGUAAAGCGCACGUAGGCGGAUUUGUAAGUCAGGGGUGAAAUCCCGGGGCUCAACCUCGGAACUGCCCUUGAUACUGCAAAUCUCGAGUCCGAUAGAGGUGAGUGGAAUUCCUAGUGUAGAGGUGAAAUUCGUAGAUAUUAGGAAGAACACCAGUGGCGAAGGCGGCUCACUGGAUCGGUACUGACGCUGAGGUGCGAAAGCGUGGGGAGCAAACAGGAUUAGAUACCCAAGUAGUCCCUGAGCGGGCUGGCAAGGCGCAU
This 447-nucleotide ribosomal RNA is filed under the name uncultured bacterium. RNAcentral describes it as "bacterial SSU rRNA". It matches the Rfam family "Bacterial small subunit ribosomal RNA", at positions 355 to 825 of the family's 1533-position model. The record is from RNAcentral.